UCUGUGAUUCCGGAGAAGGAGCUUGAGAAUUGGCUACUACAUCUAAGGAAGGCAGCAGGCGCGCAAAUUACCCAGUCCCGAUUCGGGGAGGUAGUGACAAAAAAUAACAAUACCGGGCCUUUUUGGGCUUGGUAAUUGGGAUGAGGGAGAGUUAAACGGACCAUCGAGUAUCCAUUGGAGGGCAAGUCUGGUGCCAGCAGCUGCGGUAAUACCAGCUCCAAUAGCGUAUAUUAAAGUUGUUGCGGUUAAAAAGCUCGUAGUUGGACUUGUGUGCGCUGUCCGCGGGUGGCCUGCGCCCAAAAGGGCGUUUCGGUUCGGCCCCGGUGGCGCCUUGAAAUCUGCAGCUGGGGGGACGUUGGCCUUAACUGGUCGGCGACCGCACGCCGGCUGCUCGGUUACUGUGAGAAAAUUAGAGUGUUCAAGGCAGGCAUUGGGUGCAAUUGAAUACAUUAGCAUGGAAUAAUAAAAUAUGGCUCCUGCCGUAUUUUGUUGGUUUUGACUGGUGGGAGUAAUGAUUGAUAGGGACGGUUGGGGGUGCUAGUAUUGAGCGGCCAGAGGUGAAAUUCAUGGAUUCGCUCAAGACUAACUUAUGCGAAAGCAUUCACCAAGGACGUCCUCUUUAAUCAAGAACGAAAGUUGGGGGAUCGAAGACGAUCAGAUACCGUCGUAGUCUCAACCAUAAACUAUGUCGACUUGGGAUCGGCGGUAGUUUUUUCAUUAAGACACUGUCGGGACCACGGGAGAAAUCAAAGUGUCUGGACUCUGGGGGAAGUAUGGUCGCAAGGCUGAAACUUGAAGGAAUUGACGGAAGGGCACCACCAGGAGUGGAGCCUGCGGCUUAAUUUGACUCAACACGGGGAAACUUACCAGGUCCAGAGAUGUAGAGGAUUGACAGAUUGAAGCUCUUUCUUGAUCACUUCGGUGGUGGUGCAUGGCCGUUCUUAGUUGGUGGAGUGAUUUGUCUGGUUAAUUCCGUUAACGAACGAGACCUCAGCCUGCUAGUGUAGUCGGCUGGAUUGCCUUUGGCGAUCCGUGAUUUCGACUUCUUAGAGGGACAAUCGACGCGCAGUCGAUGGAAGUUUGAGGCAAUAACAGGUCUGUGAUGCCCUUAGAUGUUCUGGGCCGCACGCGCGCUACACUGCUGGGCUCAGCGAGUUUUACUUGGCCGAGAGGCCCGGUUAAUCUUGUGAAAUCCCAGCGUGCUUGGGCUCGCCUCCUGCAACUGGAGGCGCCAACGAGGAAUUCCUAGUAGACGCAGGUCAUCAACCUGCAUCGAUUACGUCCCUGCCCUUUGUACACACCGCCCGUCGUUCCAUAAGAGUGAGGCAUCCGGUGAAUUCUCGGGAGAGCCUGGGCGUGGCCAGCAAUGGUCUGCUCGGGUUUGAACUUGCAUAAACUUGGUGCCUAUGAUUAGGGAAAAGUCGUAACAAGGUU
RNAcentral lists this ribosomal RNA (1434 nucleotides) under metagenome. Its description in RNAcentral is "SSU rRNA". It matches the Rfam family "Eukaryotic small subunit ribosomal RNA", at positions 374 to 1801 of the family's 1831-position model. The record is from RNAcentral.